This 391-nucleotide ribosomal RNA is filed under the name uncultured Dyella sp. RNAcentral's name for it is "bacterial SSU rRNA". It matches the Rfam family "Bacterial small subunit ribosomal RNA", at positions 338 to 720 of the family's 1533-position model. Lineage: Bacteria; Pseudomonadati; Pseudomonadota; Gammaproteobacteria; Lysobacterales; Rhodanobacteraceae. The record is from RNAcentral.
CCUACGGGAGGCAGCAGUGGGGAAUAUUGGACAAUGGGCGCAAGCCUGAUCCAGCAAUGCCGCGUGUGUGAAGAAGGCCUUCGGGUUGUAAAGCACUUUUAUCAGGAGCGAAAUACCACGGGUUAAUACCCUAUGGGGCUGACGGUACCUGAGGAAUAAGCACCGGCUAACUUCGUGCCAGCAGCCGCGGUAAUACGAAGGGUGCAAGCGUUAAUCGGAAUUACUGGGCGUAAAGCGUGCGUAGGUGGUUUUUUAAGUCUGCUGUGAAAUCCCCGGGCUCAACCUGGGAAUGGCAGUGGAUACUGGAAAGCUAGAGUGUGAGAGAGGAUGGUGGAAUUCCCGGGUGUAGCGGUGAAAUGCGUAGAGAUCGGGAGGAACAUCAGUGGCGAAA